CUGCCCUUUGUACACACCGCCCGUCGCUACUACCGAUUGAAUGGCUCAGUGAGGCGUCCGGACUGGCCCAGAGAGGUGGGCAACUACCACUCAGGGCCGGAAAGCUCUCCAAACUCGGUCAUUUAGAGGAAGUAAAAGUCGUAACAAGGUCUCCGUUGGUGAACCAGCGGAGGGAUCAUUACCGAGUUUACAACUCCCAAACCCCUGUGAACAUACCACUUGUUGCCUCGGCGGAUCAGCCCGCUCCCGGUAAAACGGGACGGCCCGCCAGAGGACCCCUAAACUCUGUUUCUAUAUGUAACUUCUGAGUAAAACCAUAAAUAAAUCAAAACUUUCAACAACGGAUCUCUUGGUUCUGGCAUCGAUGAAGAACGCAGCAAAAUGCGAUAAGUAAUGUGAAUUGCAGAAUUCAGUGAAUCAUCGAAUCUUUGAACGCACAUUGCGCCUGCCAGUAUUCUGGCGGGCAUGCCUGUUCGAGCGUCAUUUCAACCCUCAAGCACAGCUUGGUGUUGGGACUCGCGUUAAUUCGCGUUCCCCAAAUUGAUUGGCGGUCACGUCGAGCUUCCAUAGCGUAGUAGUAAAACCCUCGUUACUGGUAAUCGUCGCGGCCACGCCGUUAAACCCCAACUUCUGAAUGUUGACCUCGGAUCAGGUAGGAAUACCCGCUGAACUUAAG
This 676-nucleotide ribosomal RNA is filed under the name Fusarium oxysporum. RNAcentral's name for it is "eukaryotic LSU rRNA". The stretch from base 1 to 181 matches the Rfam family "Eukaryotic small subunit ribosomal RNA", at positions 1653 to 1831 of the family's 1831-position model. Lineage: Eukaryota; Fungi; Ascomycota; Sordariomycetes; Hypocreales; Nectriaceae. The record is from RNAcentral.